This 82-nucleotide transfer RNA is filed under the name Nanobdellota archaeon. RNAcentral describes it as "tRNA-Ser". It matches the Rfam family "tRNA". Rfam says of the family: Transfer RNA (tRNA) molecules are approximately 80 nucleotides in length. The record is from RNAcentral. Lineage: Archaea; Nanobdellati; Nanobdellota.
GCCGAGAUGGCUGAACGGCUAAAGCGCACGCCUGGAAAGCGUGUCCCUCUUAGGGUUCUGGGUUCGAAUCCCAGUCUCGGCG